This 637-nucleotide long non-coding RNA is filed under the name Castor canadensis (American beaver). RNAcentral's name for it is "lncRNA (ENSCCNG00000010589.1)". Lineage: Eukaryota; Metazoa; Chordata; Mammalia; Rodentia; Castoridae. The record is from RNAcentral.
GCAGUGUUCAUCACGGUCGUGCAGGUGUGUCGGUUUCAUAAUUUCUUAGGUUCGAGCCUUUGCGGCUGUCAGCAUGGGUCCAGAGACUAUCCCCUGAUGUGAUUCGCUCCCUGUUUAGGUGCUUGUGGCCCUCCAGGGUUGUAAAGCAGGGAUCCUUCAGAGUAGAUGGCCAAGCUCUGGCCAACUCAUCUGUUUGCCUGCUUUUGCAUGCAGGGAUGGGGUCGCGUGGUUGCCAGGACGUGGCGAUAAGAAGCAUCACUCGGAGGCGCGUUUCACGUAGAAGGAGUUUUCUUUUACUACCCUCGGAUGACUUCCUUCGUCACGCGUGGAUCUGCUCUAAGGCUGCCUGCCUGCCGGCCGCCUGCGGAAGUCCUCCCUGGGGCCUUUGCCGCCCGGAGCUGCCAGGCAUCGCGGGCGCGCCCACACAGAGGACCUGCGAACCGACCAGCUUCUCGGAGGGGAUGGGGUCGCGUGGUUGCCAGGACGUGGCGAUAAGAAGCAUCACUCGGAGGCGCGUUUCACGUAGAAGGAGUUUUCUUUUACUACCCUCGGAUGACUUCCUUCGUCACGCGUGGAUCUGCUCUAAGGUGUGGUGGGGACAGUUGGGAAUCUCCUGGAGUUUAGCGUGCAGGUGCUG